GACGAACGCUGGCGGCGUGCUUAACACAUGCAAGUCGAACGGAAAGGCCCUGCUUUUGUGGGGUGCUCGAGUGGCGAACGGGUGAGUAACACGUGAGUAACCUGCCCUUGACUUUGGGAUAACUUCAGGAAACUGGGGCUAAUACCGGAUAGGAGCUCUUGCUGCAUGGUGGGGGUUGGAAAGUUUCGGCGGUUGGGGAUGGACUCGCGGCUUAUCAGCUUGUUGGGGGGGUAGUGGCUUACCAAGGCUUUGACGGGUAGCCGGCCUGAGAGGUUGACCGGCCACAUUGGGACUGCGCUACGGCCCAGACUCCUACGGGAGGCAGCAGUGGGGAAUAUUGCACAAUGGGCGGGAGCCUGAUGCAGCAACGCCGCGUGCGGGAUGACGGCCUUCGGGUUGUAAACCGCUUUCGCCUGUGACGAGGCGUGAGUGACGGUAAUGGGUAAAGAAGCACCGGCUAACUACGUG
This 468-nucleotide ribosomal RNA is filed under the name uncultured bacterium. RNAcentral's name for it is "partial 16S ribosomal RNA". It matches the Rfam family "Bacterial small subunit ribosomal RNA", at positions 28 to 507 of the family's 1533-position model. The record is from RNAcentral.